UUUCCUUUGAAUUUACCAAUUAUAGAACAAAACUUGAUUGAUAUCACAAUGGAGAAAUUUACUCCAUUAUUUCAUAAUUUUUAAUAUAAAAAAAUGAGUAAAUGCUAUAUACGAAUAACUGAUUUUGUUUGGUGGGGAUGCAGAGCUGACAUAUCAGGAACCUGUUUAAAUCCUGCAAGAGCUUUCGGUCCAGCUGUGAUGACCAACUACUGGACCUACCACUGGGUCUACUGGGUCGGGCCUAUUGGAGGGGGAAUGGCGUCCGCGGCUUUGGUCAGGCUCAUCCUGGGAGACAAUAAGUUACGAGUUGUUAUGAAACCACGAGGACUCUCUUUACUGUCAUGGAGGUGAUAUUGAAGUCGUAAACAUUAUCAGUGCAUGCUUUUCCAGUCAUAUAAUGUUUCAUCUUUUUUUUGCUAUAUUUUCUUAUUUCAUGCUGACUUUUGCAAGAGCUGAUUUUUUUCAUGUGUAAUAAAAACCAAAUGUAACUUUUC
Long non-coding RNA from Cyprinodon tularosa, 494 nucleotides. RefSeq lists it as uncharacterized. The transcript has 2 exons. The record is from RefSeq and is a predicted model, not a curated record. Lineage: Eukaryota; Metazoa; Chordata; Actinopteri; Cyprinodontiformes; Cyprinodontidae.